RNAcentral lists this ribosomal RNA (2922 nucleotides) under Staphylococcus aureus subsp. aureus DSM 20231. RNAcentral describes it as "bacterial LSU rRNA". It matches the Rfam family "Bacterial large subunit ribosomal RNA". The record is from RNAcentral. Lineage: Bacteria; Bacillati; Bacillota; Bacilli; Caryophanales; Staphylococcaceae.
UUAAGUUAUUAAGGGCGCACGGUGGAUGCCUUGGCACUAGAAGCCGAUGAAGGACGUUACUAACGACGAUAUGCUUUGGGGAGCUGUAAGUAAGCUUUGAUCCAGAGAUUUCCGAAUGGGGAAACCCAGCAUGAGUUAUGUCAUGUUAUCGAUAUGUGAAUACAUAGCAUAUCAGAAGGCACACCCGGAGAACUGAAACAUCUUAGUACCCGGAGGAAGAGAAAGAAAAUUCGAUUCCCUUAGUAGCGGCGAGCGAAACGGGAAGAGCCCAAACCAACAAGCUUGCUUGUUGGGGUUGUAGGACACUCUAUACGGAGUUACAAAGGACGACAUUAGACGAAUCAUCUGGAAAGAUGAAUCAAAGAAGGUAAUAAUCCUGUAGUCGAAAAUGUUGUCUCUCUUGAGUGGAUCCUGAGUACGACGGAGCACGUGAAAUUCCGUCGGAAUCUGGGAGGACCAUCUCCUAAGGCUAAAUACUCUCUAGUGACCGAUAGUGAACCAGUACCGUGAGGGAAAGGUGAAAAGCACCCCGGAAGGGGAGUGAAAUAGAACCUGAAACCGUGUGCUUACAAGUAGUCAGAGCCCGUUAAUGGGUUAAUGGCGUGCCUUUUGUAGAAUGAACCGGCGAGUUACGAUUUGAUGCAAGGUUAAGCAGUAAAUGUGGAGCCGUAGCGAAAGCGAGUCUGAAUAGGGCGUUUAGUAUUUGGUCGUAGACCCGAAACCAGGUGAUCUACCCUUGGUCAGGUUGAAGUUCAGGUAACACUGAAUGGAGGACCGAACCGACUUACGUUGAAAAGUGAGCGGAUGAACUGAGGGUAGCGGAGAAAUUCCAAUCGAACCUGGAGAUAGCUGGUUCUCUCCGAAAUAGCUUUAGGGCUAGCCUCAAGUGAUGAUUAUUGGAGGUAGAGCACUGUUUGGACGAGGGGCCCCUCUCGGGUUACCGAAUUCAGACAAACUCCGAAUGCCAAUUAAUUUAACUUGGGAGUCAGAACAUGGGUGAUAAGGUCCGUGUUCGAAAGGGAAACAGCCCAGACCACCAGCUAAGGUCCCAAAAUAUAUGUUAAGUGGAAAAGGAUGUGGCGUUGCCCAGACAACUAGGAUGUUGGCUUAGAAGCAGCCAUCAUUUAAAGAGUGCGUAAUAGCUCACUAGUCGAGUGACACUGCGCCGAAAAUGUACCGGGGCUAAACAUAUUACCGAAGCUGUGGAUUGUCCUUUGGACAAUGGUAGGAGAGCGUUCUAAGGGCGUUGAAGCAUGAUCGUAAGGACAUGUGGAGCGCUUAGAAGUGAGAAUGCCGGUGUGAGUAGCGAAAGACGGGUGAGAAUCCCGUCCACCGAUUGACUAAGGUUUCCAGAGGAAGGCUCGUCCGCUCUGGGUUAGUCGGGUCCUAAGCUGAGGCCGACAGGCGUAGGCGAUGGAUAACAGGUUGAUAUUCCUGUACCACCUAUAAUCGUUUUAAUCGAUGGGGGGACGCAGUAGGAUAGGCGAAGCGUGCGAUUGGAUUGCACGUCUAAGCAGUAAGGCUGAGUAUUAGGCAAAUCCGGUACUCGUUAAGGCUGAGCUGUGAUGGGGAGAAGACAUUGUGUCUUCGAGUCGUUGAUUUCACACUGCCGAGAAAAGCCUCUAGAUAGAAAAUAGGUGCCCGUACCGCAAACCGACACAGGUAGUCAAGAUGAGAAUUCUAAGGUGAGCGAGCGAACUCUCGUUAAGGAACUCGGCAAAAUGACCCCGUAACUUCGGGAGAAGGGGUGCUCUUUAGGGUUAACGCCCAGAAGAGCCGCAGUGAAUAGGCCCAAGCGACUGUUUAUCAAAAACACAGGUCUCUGCUAAACCGUAAGGUGAUGUAUAGGGGCUGACGCCUGCCCGGUGCUGGAAGGUUAAGAGGAGUGGUUAGCUUCUGCGAAGCUACGAAUCGAAGCCCCAGUAAACGGCGGCCGUAACUAUAACGGUCCUAAGGUAGCGAAAUUCCUUGUCGGGUAAGUUCCGACCCGCACGAAAGGCGUAACGAUUUGGGCACUGUCUCAACGAGAGACUCGGUGAAAUCAUAGUACCUGUGAAGAUGCAGGUUACCCGCGACAGGACGGAAAGACCCCGUGGAGCUUUACUGUAGCCUGAUAUUGAAAUUCGGCACAGCUUGUACAGGAUAGGUAGGAGCCUUUGAAACGUGAGCGCUAGCUUACGUGGAGGCGCUGGUGGGAUACUACCCUAGCUGUGUUGGCUUUCUAACCCGCACCACUUAUCGUGGUGGGAGACAGUGUCAGGCGGGCAGUUUGACUGGGGCGGUCGCCUCCUAAAAGGUAACGGAGGCGCUCAAAGGUUCCCUCAGAAUGGUUGGAAAUCAUUCAUAGAGUGUAAAGGCAUAAGGGAGCUUGACUGCGAGACCUACAAGUCGAGCAGGGUCGAAAGACGGACUUAGUGAUCCGGUGGUUCCGCAUGGAAGGGCCAUCGCUCAACGGAUAAAAGCUACCCCGGGGAUAACAGGCUUAUCUCCCCCAAGAGUUCACAUCGACGGGGAGGUUUGGCACCUCGAUGUCGGCUCAUCGCAUCCUGGGGCUGUAGUCGGUCCCAAGGGUUGGGCUGUUCGCCCAUUAAAGCGGUACGCGAGCUGGGUUCAGAACGUCGUGAGACAGUUCGGUCCCUAUCCGUCGUGGGCGUAGGAAAUUUGAGAGGAGCUGUCCUUAGUACGAGAGGACCGGGAUGGACAUACCUCUGGUGUACCAGUUGUCGUGCCAACGGCAUAGCUGGGUAGCUAUGUGUGGACGGGAUAAGUGCUGAAAGCAUCUAAGCAUGAAGCCCCCCUCAAGAUGAGAUUUCCCAACUUCGGUUAUAAGAUCCCUCAAAGAUGAUGAGGUUAAUAGGUUCGAGGUGGAAGCAUGGUGACAUGUGGAGCUGACGAAUACUAAUCGAUCGAAGACUUAAUCAA